UACGUAGGGCCCAAGCGUUAUCCGGAAUUAUUGGGCGUAAAGAGCUCGUAGGCGGUUUGUCGCGUCUGCCGUGAAAGUCCGGGGCUCAACUCCGGAUCUGCGGUGGGUACGGGCAGACUAGAGUGAUGUAGGGGAGACUGGAAUUCCUGGUGUAGCGGUGAAAUGCGCAGAUAUCAGGAGGAACACCGAUGGCGAAGGCAGGUCUCUGGGCAUUAACUGACGCUGAGGAGCGAAAGCAUGGGGAGCGAACAGG
RNAcentral lists this ribosomal RNA (253 nucleotides) under uncultured bacterium. Its description in RNAcentral is "partial 16S ribosomal RNA". It matches the Rfam family "Bacterial small subunit ribosomal RNA", at positions 524 to 776 of the family's 1533-position model. The record is from RNAcentral.